CACGGAAGGGGCAAGCGUUACUCGUAAGUAUUGGGCGUAAGGCGUCUGUAGGUGGUUCUUUUCCGAACUAGUUUGUACCCGAAUCCCUCCUCGUCAGGGUGAGUGGAUCACCGGGUUAAGUAACGGGGUAGCCCAGAGGUGCAAGGUACCCUUGAUGGAGGGGUGGAAUCCAAAAAGAUCAAUGGGGACCCCCAACGGCGAAGGCAUUGUCACCCGGGGCCUCUAACACUGAGAGACGAAAGCGUGGGGAGCAAACAGG
Molecule: ribosomal RNA, 259 nt
Filed under: uncultured bacterium
Lineage: Bacteria
Description: partial 16S ribosomal RNA
Rfam family: Bacterial small subunit ribosomal RNA
Source: RNAcentral